ACCUGGGGCAUUAAGCCCAUUAUUACCUGGCUAAUCUGUGAAUGUAUCCUGAAUGACCAACUGUAUUGCUACCUGGGGCAUCUGAGAAGAUCGUUACCUGGGAGAUCGAGAUUGCCUUGGGCAUCUAAGAAUAUUAUCCCUGGGGGAUCCAAGCAGUCCAGAGCAUCAAGACCGCUCUUCCUUGGCAGAUGGAUCAGGAUAGUGCUCCCUGGAAGAUUUGAAAGCAGUGCUACCUGGGACAUCUCAGACAAUUGCUACCUGUGAAUUUAAGAGCCCUGUAACAUGAGUGAUCUGAGAGUAUUGUUACCUUGGAUCUGAAGGCCGUGCUGUUUCCUGGGAAUCUGACACCAUUGAAACAUGGAGGAUUUGAUAACAUUGUAACCUGGGGGGAAACAGGACCAUUUUUACCUGGAAGAGCAGAGAGCAUUGUGCCCUGGGGCGGGAUGGGGUACAUGGGAUUUUUACCUGCUGAUCAAGACUAUUGCUGCCUGGAGAUCCUGAGAAGGUUGUGACCAAGGGAUCAAGGCCCUUGGGGAUCUGAAAGUCCUGUCAGAUAGGAGGCCAUUGUUACCUUGGGAUUUGAGAGUAUUGUAAGCUGAGGGUCUUAGAACACUAUUACCUUGGCUGUGAAUAUAACUGUUAUCUGGAAGGGUUACAAGUCAGGUGUAACUCUGCAAGUUUACCUUGUCACCUCGGGGUAUCUGAGAACGUUGUAACUUGGGAAUUGAGAGCUUUAGAACCUGGACGAUGUUAAACCAUUGUCACUUGGGUGAUCCUAGACCAUUUUGUAGGACCUUAGACCGUUGUUACUUGGGGAAACUGAAACCAUUGUAACCUGGAGGAUUGACAUUGUUACUUGGCAUAUUUAAAGAUUGUUACAUGGGAAUUGAGAGCAUUAUAAACUGGGAAUCUAAAAGCA
Mastomys coucha (southern multimammate mouse) is the source of this 919-nucleotide long non-coding RNA. RefSeq lists it as uncharacterized. Lineage: Eukaryota; Metazoa; Chordata; Mammalia; Rodentia; Muridae. The record is from RefSeq and is a predicted model, not a curated record. The transcript has 2 exons.